GUAAAGACAGUUCUCGAGAUCCUGGGCCUCAGGGACCAAAUUAAAAAAGCAGCACCACUUAAUUCAAAAUCAGAUGAAUGUCAGUAGGAUGUUUGUCAAACAAACUUGUCAUCAUUUGUCACAAUUUGAGGAAGUCUCAGUCAGUAGUCACACUUGAACGUGUAACAGAGUUAUUUAUAGCCGCCAGUCUCCAGUUUUAAGUAAAUGCAGGGCCGGGUUCGGUGUUAUAAACAGCUUUAUUUAUAAUGAUUGUGCGGCUAUAAAUAGUUUGGUGUGCUGGGUGUAGCAGAGUGGCUCGGCUCAGGGCUGCCAGAGCCAGGAGGGAAGCCACAGGAGGAGGGAAGUGCAUCCUCCUGCGUCUUCCUCUUCUCGGCGGACCCUCUCUGUGAGUCCUUGGCCGGGAAGGUAUUUGAUCCUCUUCCUCGAUGUCCCUCGUGGAACGAGAAGUUGUGCACAACGGUGUUCCCAGGAGAAGUACAGCUGAAGUCUAUUAGGUAGGACGGUACAAAUCAGGGAGAGAAGAACCUUGCAAGAAAUUGACUUCACGAUGUCAUCUUAGCAUCCUUGAGACACGCGCUGAGCCCCUGUAAGCGCAAAGUAGUCACAGCCGGAGAUUUGGGGCAGAAGGACACAGGCAAGCAAUCCUUCUUGGAAAAGGGAUUACUUUUUUUUUUUUUUGCUGUAUCAUCAGCAACCUCUUCAUUGUCGUCAUCAUCAUUAUUGCAAUUUUUGUCCAAGAGCGCCGUGAGAUGCAUCCUAUUGGAACCCGUCCCCCUCGAGCUGUAGCAAGGACAGCCUGCCCAAGUAAGCUGCCGACUAACACUCAGAAGACGCAGGUCAUGGAUGCAGAGGAGCUAAGGUCAAGGGACUCUGAGGGGGUGCUUCUCAUCCUGACCUGGGUGCUAGGGAGGGCAUCCCGGAGGAGAGGGCCCCCGGGGUUGAAUCCUGCAGGUGGUUCCUUAGGGCAGCGACUGUGUCUUUUUGUUUCUGCAUAGACACCUGUGACGCGGAAGGCACGUGGUAAAUAUUUGCAGAGAGAACCAACGAAGGUUUACUCUCUUUUUAAAUCUCCCCGAUGCCGAGUACUAGCUGAGAAGGAUGUGGUAUACGUGCCUUAGUUCAGGCCCUUUGGCUACGCAUUCUUGGAACUCGAAGUGUUUGGAGCUUCAGGACGUCAUUAGCUCCUUCCAUUCUGUUCCCCUCCUUUGACCAAGUGACUGGUUGGAAGCCAUUUGCUUUUCUAAGAGAACGGAGCUGGGAUAGAGUGUCUCUUGCCUUCCAGAAACGAGAACUCAUGUUUUUUGGAGAUGGAGAGACACGCCCAUUAUAAAGGAGGAACAGCAGGGGUGACCCAGGGUGGGAGUGAUCUCCGCCAGCAGGGACCCUGCCCCCGAGAUGGACGCAGGUCAAAUGGCGUUUGAGGAACCGAAGAACGUUGGGAGGGAAUUCUAGAAGCCUCUGAUCAGGAGAGUGGAGGCCCAGAGAGAUGUGAAUCACUCACUGCAAGUCACAGGCAUCAGCUCGAAGCCUAGAUGGAAAACGAACCUCACCGAUUUCAAAGUCUGUCCUGUCCAUGUCACUGACCCAGCUAAACUUUACGGGACUACAUUUUCCCCUACACUUCUCUCCCUGACUUCAGCUCGCUGGUGAUGGGCUGUGUGUAAGUGUCUGGAAAUCGAUGUAUUUUAAGGAAUCGUUUCGAGUGAUGUCGGAGGCUUGACAACUUUGGAAUCUGCAGGCAGGCCAACAGGCUGGGAGAAGACCCAGGGAGAAGCUAAUGUUGCAGCUGGAGUUUGAAGGCAGUCUGGAGGCAGAGAUUCCUUUUCCUUGGGGGAAACCUCAGUCUUUUUUUUUUUUUUUCUUAAGACCUUCAACUGAUUGGGUGAGGCCCACCCACAUUAUAAAGGGUAAUCUGCUUUACUCAAUGUCUAGUGAUUUAAAUGCUAAUCUCACCUAAAAAGUACCUUCCUAGUGAUAUCUAGACUGGUGUUUGACCAAAUAUCUGGGUACUGUGACCUCGCUGAGUUGACAUAUGGCAUUAGCCAUCACAUGGGGCUAAUAAGAUCUAUCUCCUAAGAUUGAAGGGGGGUAUCCGUGAGCUGAUGUAGAAAAAGAGCUUGGGCACAGGUAAGUUCCGGCUACAUAUUACCCGUUGUUCUUCCCCGGAACUGGACGUGCUGUCUCUGGCUUUGGCUCGGACGGGUCAUUUCUGUCCGUGGACUGGCCCUCUGGCAGCCGGCAGGUUUGAGUUCUGUCCCAUCUGCUUCUUGCGGCUGCCGUAAAGUCCGGGUGCCUCCUGUGUGGCCCCCCGCGUCUGGGAGGAGAUUUAUGUAUCCUGUUUCCCAGGAUAAAUUAGGAUCCUGGGCGCUGCCUCCCAUGGACGGCCUCGGUAGAGGCCCAGGAGGGGAAAUACCGCAGGGAAGGGCGGCUGAGGACGGCUGAAAUGGCAGGGCAAGAAUGCCACCCAGAGAAUCUUUGUUGUUUAUACCGGUGGCAGGAAACAAACAUAAUGCUCUUUAAUUUUCCUUGGCAGGGUCUGAGGCGCCUCGCGGCUGCCAUCCUGUCUGCCUGGCCACGCUGCACCCCCACUUCCCCCAGCCUCAGGUGGACGGGCCCCCCAGCAAAUGCCUUUCCUGGAAACAUGAGGCCGCCACAGCCCUCCGCCGCCCGACCCCCUCUGCGUUCAAGCCUCUGCUCUGUCUCCACCGGCCAGCCGUGCCCGCCCCCCCACCCCGACCUCACCCUGACACAGGGAGAGACCCUUGAUGGCCAGACGUGCAUUGCAAGCCCCAACCUACGCUCCGUUUGGAAACAGGAGAAUUUUCAUUUUGCUUUGGUUUGAGGGGGGCGGGUAAAACUGGGACACAUGCAAAAGAUCUAGGCGGACAAUGGGGAGGGCGAGAUGGGGAGGAAA
Acinonyx jubatus (cheetah) is the source of this 2914-nucleotide long non-coding RNA. RefSeq lists it as uncharacterized. The transcript has 6 exons. Lineage: Eukaryota; Metazoa; Chordata; Mammalia; Carnivora; Felidae. The record is from RefSeq and is a predicted model, not a curated record.